Molecule: non-coding RNA, 249 nt
Organism: Pelobates cultripes (western spadefoot toad)
Lineage: Eukaryota; Metazoa; Chordata; Amphibia; Anura; Pelobatidae
Source: the annotation of a GenBank genome assembly
GGCGCACAUGUGCUCACAUCAGGACAUAUCCCCCUAUCCCUCACCUCUGUAUCCAAUCACUCACAACCCCUUGUUCCCUCCUGGAGCAGAUAGGAAAAUAGAUAAGCAAUAUCAUAACUCACAAUACUUGUCAGUGGAGGCAGUAAUUGAAGGGAAUGAAAUCAAACCUUUACACAAAUUGUUACCGGAGACUGAUAUCACAGCAAUGCAAAUGUUUUCAUACAUUUAAAUGGUACACUUUUUAAAGAA